This is a long non-coding RNA of Ananas comosus (pineapple), 869 nucleotides long. RefSeq lists it as uncharacterized. NCBI's taxonomy places the organism in Eukaryota, Viridiplantae, Streptophyta, Magnoliopsida, Poales, Bromeliaceae. The record is from RefSeq and is a predicted model, not a curated record. The transcript is spliced from 2 exons.
AUAAGGGGCACUUACAGGAUGGAAACAUAGGGAACUGUAUACAGGAUAUUACUGAAUUUUGGCAGAACUUAUUUUGCAGUCAAAUAUCUUGCUGUAAUUCUAUUUUGACAACUUGGGGCGUAGGACAAACUUCAACAAAGAGGUCCUCUCACCUAACGCAUAUGUGGAAAACCUGUGAAUCAGACUUGGUAUUCUUAUUAAACUGUUUCAGGACUUCAUCAACAUUGUUAAUCUGUGGUUUCUCUUCGAUUGAGGCAAUUUGUGAUUGAUCAAUGUGGCACCUCUUUCAUGUUGGUUGUGUUAUUCUAUGUCUAUUAUAUUGUGAGGAGUGUCAUGUUUUAUGAGUUCCUUGUUUUGGUUUGGUGUGUAUCAGAAGCUGUGAGUCAGACUUGAUGUAUGCUUUGUUUCUUGGCCAUUGACUUGAGGUAGUUUUUGAAGGAAUUGGAGUGUCAUUUUUCUGAACAAUUUGGGGGAUUUUUUAUUAACUAGUGCAGGUAGUUUUUUAAGGUUCAGUUGAUCUUUUGUAUCAUAAAUUAUAGUGUGGUUUCUUAUGGUCCUUUGAGUUUUGUAAAGCGGUUUUAGAGGUUGGUAUUUUCUGCUGUAGUUUUUAAACGUUGGUUCGUUAAUUUAGUAUUUAAGCAGUAUUAGUCACGUGAGAUAGUCGGUUCUCUGGAUUUUUUUUGUACUAGAGAAUUUCUGAUUAUUUGUGGUUCAGCCUCUAUUGAGUUUCAUUCCCAUUUUUUGUCGGCAUUUUUUGGGUGUUGGUACUUUUGUUUUGUAGUGCCUUCUGUUGUAUUUGGUUGUUUAUCUGUGUAAAGUGUAAGAUGAUUCAAUUCUUGUGGGCAUUGUAUUAAUUGGCUUUGUGGAGA